Molecule: long non-coding RNA, 2205 nt
Organism: Sardina pilchardus (European sardine)
Lineage: Eukaryota; Metazoa; Chordata; Actinopteri; Clupeiformes; Clupeidae
Exons: 4
Source: RefSeq, a predicted model, not a curated record
GGUAGCUAUGUAAGCAUGCCUCAGUUGUCCCUGGCCCUCACAAGACACACCGUCUCACACAGGACUGUACCCGAGUGGUCUCAGAAAAAGAAACACAGAUGCUGUACAUAUUGGGGACCGUCUUUGGAAUCAUCUGCAUCAUAGUAUGCAUUUCCAAAGGACUGAAAGAGAAGGAUAGUAAGCAAGGAAAUGGCUGUCAACCUCCUCUACAGAAACAACUGGUCUACAAUAAAAGGAUUCUGACUGAACAGGACCUUUUACUUCUGGCCAGGAUCCUGACCAUUGGACUGGUAGACGCAGACCCUACCACCUUGCAGCACCUAAGGGAAUACAGAGACCUUAGAGGAAGCACCACAUGAAGUGGUGACACUGACACAUGUGCUCUUGUGUCAAAGACUAGAUAUUCCUCUGAGACUCUUGUUGUCUUUGUGACACUAGUAAAUGAGUGUCUUUUGGGACUGUUUUGACUGAAGGAACCAUGACCUCCAAGAGGAUUAGUUCUGGACUUGACAUUUGUCACCUUUUGGUACAAGGUUGUCAAGGCUUUUGUUUUCCUGCUUGCUAGUAUCAACAGGUAGAAGAUUCCUCCAUGGAUAAUCUAAUCUACAGUAUGUGAGAAUGAAACCUCUGCCAGUAUGUUGCAGCACAAAAAUGAAAGUCUGAUUCACAGGUGAAAAUGACAUUCAAAAACUGUGAUAUUCUAGAGAAACCAGGACAGAUGUCUACUGCAUGUUUGGUCAUCUGAGUAGGCCUAUUAUAGGCCUGUGUUGCAAUACUGUGUACGGAUCGUCGUCACUCAGGGAAAUUUCCACUUGAACAUUCUUUUGGCCUUAACUCAGAGAGUGUACUGAGCACAUGAGGAAAUGUCUGCCCAACACAGAGGUUCUAUGAAGCAUGACGAUUUUUAUGAGAAAGAAUGUGACGAGAGCGUGAGAAUUUUCUAUGAAAGUUUUAUUUUUUAAAUUAUUGUUGUGGAUUAUCAAUGAAUUUUGAACAUCUUUUAUUCUGCCAAAUGUGAGACAUAAUCUAGUAAAACUGCAACGUUUCCCUUGGUUAUUAGAGGACAGGUUAAGAACAAUUACAUUGAAAGUGCAGUAUGUAAGAUUUAGGGUGAUCUUGUACCAGAAAUAUUUUCAAUAGUGUCUUAUCACCUGUAAUGUUUGUGUUUUUGUUAUCUUAGAACGAGCCCUUUGUAUUUAUUUUAGUGAGAGAAUCCACUUCCGCAGAGCCCACCCUGUUUUUGCUGCCAUGUAGCACCACUCCGUCAAACCAAAACAGGGCCUUGCACAAUUGAUGCACCUGAUGGGAACGCUAUAGCUUCAAAGUAUUCCAUUGGUUGUUCUGUAUGCAUGUCACUAAAUUCUGCAUACUGCACUUUUAACGUAUGGACUCAAUACCCAUAUUUGUUGUAUUAUACUUUCAGCAGUACUGAGUACUCUUGACACAUUUGAUAACCUUUAAAAAAUGUUGGGCUCCUGAUGCAUCAAUUUAUCUGGUCUUGGAACAGAAUCUGAGAUAAUGUAUUUAAAAACAAAUAUCCUGUGUCUAUGCCUUCCUCUUGACCUUCUGAGUUUUCCCUGGGGAGAGAAGCAGAACCCAACAUGUUACUUCAAUAAAGAACCUCAUUGUGGGCAUGCCCAGAUCUACAGUAAUAUGAUCACCAUGGUCCAUUCACUUACCCCAGAUGCUGCUGUUUAGCGUUUGUCCCAACAGAUAAAGCAGAGUCACCACAGUCAUGUUGAAAAAGAAGAAGCCCAUCAGUCCAGCAGGACUUAACAAAGAGAGAAGGGGGUACACCCAGAUACCCACAGUCAGGUACACCCAAAUCACCCUGGGGAAAGGCAAAGGCAGUUAGGCGGCGACAAGUAACAGUUCAAGAAAAAAAAGAGAGUAAGCAUGUCACUGUUUUCUGUUCAUAUCGAAAGCUCAUCUGUUGUCUCGUUUCAAAAUGAUGCUCUAGAUCUUGAUUGGUUAUGUUAUGUUGUAAUGUUUGUGAUGCUCUAGAUCUUGAUUUGUAAAAUUGUUAUACUGAUGAUAAUUAUACUGAUAUAGAUGUUUAGAUGACACUAGACAUGGAACCUUCCUAUAUCUUACUGACUCAUUUGGCAGUGGCAGCCGUUCUAAUUCUACUGUCCUUUUAUUUUUGUUAUGUAAAUAAAUUGACACCACCUACCAACUUAAGUAGGCAAGCCCUACAACACCUAA